UUCUUCUUCAGAGCUUCUGCUUGGGUAGUGUCCUUGGAUCCCUCAUUCAGACGGAAUGGUGCAAUCAUGUCAUCGAAUGUCUUCAAACUAAAGUGGCAAUCCACAAUGAAUUUACCUGGCAGAGGUUGGUCUGGCAUUCAUAUCAGGAAUGACAUGGAUGUCAUCACAUUUGAUCCUGAAUUUCUUGAGGAGUAACACCAUCCUAGAGAACAAAAGAUGUAUCAUUUCACUGGGGAUGUGUCCAGAUGGUCUGUGUUUGGUGACCACUUACUCGUCUUUGUCUUGCUGGAUUCGGCCAGGCAGACCAGCAAUGAAGAUUCUCAAAUUGCAGUCCUUGAAUUUCUUUCGGGUAGU
Long non-coding RNA from Alosa sapidissima (American shad), 354 nucleotides. RefSeq lists it as uncharacterized. The transcript has 3 exons. The record is from RefSeq and is a predicted model, not a curated record. Lineage: Eukaryota; Metazoa; Chordata; Actinopteri; Clupeiformes; Clupeidae.